GAUCAUUACCGAAUUUAAUUCCGGGGUUGUAGCUGGCCAUUAUUUUGGCAUGUGCACGCCCUGGUAAUCCAAAUCAUUUAUACCUCUGUGCACUAUUAUGUGGGAUUGAUGAGGCUUUGGUGCUUGCGCCAAUGGCAUUAUCAUUCUCAUGUUUCACAUACACUCUUUAGUAUAGAAUGUUAUUGCGUUAGACGCAUCUUAAUACAACUUUCAGCAACGGAUCUCUUGGCUCUCGCAUCGAUGAAGAACGCAGCGAAAUGCGAUAAGUAAUGUGAAUUGCAGAAUUCAGUGAAUCAUCGAAUCUUUGAACGCACCUUGCGCUCCUUGGUAUUCCGAGGAGCAUGCCUGUUUGAGUGUCAUGGUAUUCUCAAUCCAUCUGGUUUUGUCAAAGAAACUUGGUUGGACUUGGAUAUGGAGGUUUCUUGCUGGUCUUUACUGAUCGGCUCCUCUGAAAUACAUCAGCAUAAAUGGAACGCUGUUUUCAGUGUGAUAAUUAUCUACACUGUGAUUUGGCCUUGCUAUUUUUGCUUCUAAUUGUCUGCAUGAGUAGACAACUUUAUUGACAUCUGACCUCAAAUCAGGUAGGACUACCCGCUGAA
RNAcentral lists this ribosomal RNA (599 nucleotides) under Neohypochnicium wakefieldiae. RNAcentral's name for it is "eukaryotic LSU rRNA". The stretch from base 206 to 359 matches the Rfam family "5.8S ribosomal RNA". Lineage: Eukaryota; Fungi; Basidiomycota; Agaricomycetes; Polyporales. The record is from RNAcentral.